AGAGUUUGAUCAUGGCUCAGAACGAACGCUGGCGGCAGGCUUAACACAUGCAAGUCGAACGCACCGCAAGGUGAGUGGCAGACGGGUGAGUAACGCGUGGGAACGUGCCCUUCAGUUCGGGAUAACCCAGGGAAACUUGGGCUAAUACCGGAUACGUGCGAGAGCAGAAAGAUUGAUCGCUGAAGGAUCGGCCCGCGUCUGAUUAGCUAGUUGGUAGGGUAAUGGCCUACCAAGGCGACGAUCAGUAGCUGGUCUGAGAGGAUGAUCAGCCACAUUGGGACUAAGACACGGCCCAAACUCCUACGGGAGGCAGCAGUGGGGAAUAUUGGACAAUGGGCGCAAGCCUGAUCCAGCCAUGCCGCGUGAGUGAUGAAGGCCUUAGGGUUGUAAAGCUCUUUCGGCGGGGACGAUAAUGACGGUACCCGCAGAAGAAGCCCCGGCUAACUUCGUGCCAGCAGCCGCGGUAAUACGAAGGGGGCUAGCGUUGUUCGGAAUCACUGGGCGUAAAGGGCGCGUAGGCGGCCUGAUAAGUCGGGGGUGAAAGCCUGUGGCUCAACCACAGAAUUGCCUUCGAUACUGUCGGGCUUGAGACCGGAAGAGGUAAGUGGAACUGCGAGUGUAGAGGUGAAAUUCGUAGAUAUUCGCAAGAACACCAGUGGCGAAGGCGGCUUACUGGUCCGGUUCUGACGCUGAGGCGCGAAAGCGUGGGGAGCAAACAGGAUUAGAUACCCUAGUAGUCC
This 740-nucleotide ribosomal RNA is filed under the name uncultured bacterium. RNAcentral's name for it is "bacterial SSU rRNA". It matches the Rfam family "Bacterial small subunit ribosomal RNA", at positions 8 to 796 of the family's 1533-position model. The record is from RNAcentral.